Maylandia zebra (zebra mbuna) is the source of this 550-nucleotide non-coding RNA. NCBI's taxonomy places the organism in Eukaryota, Metazoa, Chordata, Actinopteri, Cichliformes, Cichlidae. The record is from RefSeq and is a predicted model, not a curated record.
AACUUCCCAUUCUCGGAAGAAGAAGUGAGAAGAAGAAGAAAGCAGAGUUGAGUUGAGUCCGAUGUUUCUCGUGAAAGUUGAGCCUGGAUGAGCGCCCCGAUGAAAUUUCUGCUUCUUUCUUUCAGAGUCCCUUUCGACUGUAAUGGCGGCGUUACGACCAUUGACUGUCCUGACGGGAGUAUUUAUCUUCUAUCUGCUGGGACAUCUUGACUGUGAAGAGGUCAAAGUCAGACAAGGAGAAAAUGCCAUUCUGGAGUGUUACGGCCCCAGUGAUGCUACUGAAAUAAUGUUAAGGUGGACCAAACCUGACCUGCAGACAGAUAAUUAUGUCAUUUACUUAAAAGAUGGUCAUUUUCAGAAAGACCUCCAGAAUGACUUGUUUAAAGGUCGGGUGGAGCUGAAGGAUUCAAAAUGGAUGACGAAUGGAAACUUCUCAGUGAUUCUCCAGAAUGUCACCUUGAACGAUUCUGGAACAUAUGAAUGUUAUGCAGCAUACAACAAUCAGCCAGUUCAAAUUUUGAACAGCACCAGCCUGAAGGUAGAAGAACAA